UCAGACUUUCACUGUUGCACAUAACCCUAAAACAUGAUAACAUUCAAAUUCUCAAAUCCCUAAUUUUUUUCCCCUCUCUCUUUCUCUCUCGUUCUCCCUCAGACCCUCACCCAGUCAGGCAGUCACCCUAGCUCACAUUUCUUGCAAUUAUUUUGUAUUUUGAACUAUUGAACAUGUUGCAUCAAAUUGUAGGUAAUGUUAUAUAAAAAUUAAACUAUUGAUUAUAUAAUGUCGAGAAUUUCAAUAGGCUCGUUUAGAGCUCGAGCUCGGCUCGACUCGAAAUUAGGCUCGCUCGAGCUCGACUCGAAUUAAUUU
RNAcentral lists this long non-coding RNA (315 nucleotides) under Ananas comosus (pineapple). Its description in RNAcentral is "long non-coding RNA (ACOM_LNC000657)". Lineage: Eukaryota; Viridiplantae; Streptophyta; Magnoliopsida; Poales; Bromeliaceae. The record is from RNAcentral.